UGGAAGAUGCCAACACACCUGAAUCCUUAGUAUCCUUCGGUCAGCCAACACAAGAAUGGGAAGUUAGCCAACAACUUCGAGAUGCUAAUAUUCACCCAGACAGAACCCCCCAUUUUGAUACUAGAGAGCCAUCCCACAAAGUGUGUAUUAGGAGUGGCAGUGAAAUCAUCAAAUUACCUCACACUGGAGCGGAGGCUCAACCUACCAACCUACAGCAGUCUGCCUCCACUGCACAACAGGCUGCCCACACUAUCCAGGUCUCUGAUGCAUCUGCUCUACAGCUGUCUCCCAGGCGCUCGGCGAGAUUUAAAAAAACAGAUGUUUCUACGGAAAAACAUACACUUGUUCGCACCGCCAAGAACAUGGAGAAGGACAAAACCAAUGUCCCAAGCUUUGUGAACCCCAACCAAUUCGGAGCUCCUGGAAAUGUUCUGCAAUGCGGUCAACUACCAGUUAUCGUAAAGAGGAUCAGGAAGAGACCAUUGAAGAUCAUUUCUCCAUUUAAAUUACAUCCUGUUAAGUCUACCAUUUCUCUCAACCACGCCCGAAAACUCCGUGACAUAGUAAUCAACGACCUUGAUCUCAAAAAGACUGGACUUCUUGCUUACGAACCUUCUAAGUUAUAUCUUACUGGCAUGGAUCUCGCAAAAAGCUUCGGCGAUGGGGCAUCAAUGCUACCCAGCUUGAUGGAAUACUACAUAGACAUUCUGCGUCACGAUGAGAUUAAAUUAAGGCCC
Triticum dicoccoides is the source of this 737-nucleotide long non-coding RNA. RefSeq lists it as uncharacterized. The record is from RefSeq and is a predicted model, not a curated record. Lineage: Eukaryota; Viridiplantae; Streptophyta; Magnoliopsida; Poales; Poaceae. The transcript has 5 exons.